GCCCGUUCGGGGGAAAGCCGGGGACCUUCGGGCCUGGCGCGAUUGGAUGAGCCCACGUCGGAUUAGCUAGUUGGCGGGGUAAAGGCCCACCAAGGCGACGAUCCGUAGCUGGUCUGAGAGGAUGAUCAGCCACACUGGAACUGAGACACGGUCCAGACUCCUACGGGAGGCAGCAGUAGGGAAUAUUGGACAAUGGGCGCAAGCCUGAUCCAGCCAUGCCGCGUGAGUGAAGAAGGCCCUCGGGUUGUAAAGCUCUUUUGUCCGGAAAGAAAAGCGCCGGGUUAAUACCCUGGUGUCCUGACGGUACCGGAAGAAUAAGCACCGGCUAACUUCGUG
This 336-nucleotide ribosomal RNA is filed under the name uncultured bacterium. Its description in RNAcentral is "bacterial SSU rRNA". It matches the Rfam family "Bacterial small subunit ribosomal RNA", at positions 190 to 507 of the family's 1533-position model. The record is from RNAcentral.